This 154-nucleotide ribosomal RNA is filed under the name Clostridiales bacterium. Its description in RNAcentral is "partial 23S ribosomal RNA". It matches the Rfam family "Bacterial large subunit ribosomal RNA", at positions 2778 to 2925 of the family's 2925-position model. Lineage: Bacteria; Bacillati; Bacillota; Clostridia; Eubacteriales. The record is from RNAcentral.
CAUCUAAGCGUGAAGCCCCCCUGAAGAAGAAGACUGCCACUGCUAAGAGCAGGUAAGACCCCUCAGAGACGAUGAGGUAGAUAGGUCAUCGGUGGAAGUGCGGCAACGCAUGGAGCUUGAUGAUACUAAUCGGUCGAGGGCUUGAUCUGAAAGA